Molecule: ribosomal RNA, 484 nt
Filed under: uncultured bacterium
Lineage: Bacteria
Description: partial 16S ribosomal RNA
Rfam family: Bacterial small subunit ribosomal RNA
Source: RNAcentral
AUUGAACGCUGGCGGAAUGCUUUACACAUGCAAGUCGAACGGCAGCACGGGGGCAGCCCUGGUGGCGAGUGGCGAACGGGUGAGUAAUACAUCGGAACGUGCCCGGUCGUGGGGGAUAACGUAGCGAAAGUUACGCUAAUACCGCAUACGAUCUGAGGAUGAAAGCGGGGGACCUUCGGGCCUCGCGCGAUCGGAGCGGCCGAUGUCAGAUUAGGUAGUUGGUGGGGUAAAGGCCUACCAAGCCGACGAUCUGUAGCUGGUCUGAGAGGACGACCAGCCACACUGGGACUGAGACACGGCCCAGACUCCUACGGGAGGCAGCAGUGGGGAAUUUUGGACAAUGGGCGCAAGCCUGAUCCAGCCAUUCCGCGUGCAGGACAAAGGCCUUCGGGUUGUAAACUGCUUUUGUACGGAACGAAAAGGCUCUGGCUAAUACCUGGGGCUCAUGACGGUACCGUAAGAAUAAGCACCGGCUAGCUACGUG